RNAcentral lists this ribosomal RNA (410 nucleotides) under uncultured bacterium. Its description in RNAcentral is "bacterial SSU rRNA". It matches the Rfam family "Bacterial small subunit ribosomal RNA", at positions 29 to 421 of the family's 1533-position model. The record is from RNAcentral.
AACGAACGCUGGCGGCGUGCCUAACACAUGCAAGUCGUGCGAGAAAGUUCCUUCGGGAGCGAGUAAAGCGGCGCACGGGUGAGUAACACGUAGGUAACCUGCCCCCCAGUCUGGAACAACUAGAGGAAACUCUAGCUAAUGCCGGAUGAGACCACGAUCCCUUCGGGGGUUGCGGCCAAAGAUGGCCUCUACUUGUAAGCUAUCGCUGAGGGAUGGGCCUGCGGGCCAUUAGCUUGUUGGUGAGGUAACGGCUCACCAAGGCUGUGAUGGCUAGCUGGUCUGAGAGGAUGACCAGCCACACUGGGACUGAGACACGGCCCAGACUCCUACGGGAGGCAGCAGUGGGAAUAUUGCGCAAUGGGCGAAAGCCUGACGCAGCGACGCCGCGUGGGUGAUGAAGGCCUGUGUAG